AUACGUAGGGGGCGAGCGUUGUCCGGAAUGAUUGGGCGUAAAGGGCGGGUAGGCGGCCUGUUAAGUCUGGAGUGAAGGUCUGUUUUUCGAGAGGGGAUUUGUUUUGGAUACGGCGGAGCUUGAGUGCGGGAGAGGUUACCGGAAUUCCGGGGUUGGCGGGGAAAUGCGUAGAGAUCGGGAGGAACACCAGUGGCGAAGGCGGGUAACUGGACUGCAACUGACGCUGAGGCGCGAAAGUGUGGGGAGCAAACAGGAUUAGAUACCCUGGUAGUCCACGCUGUAAACGAUGAUUACUAGGUGUGGGGGGACUGACCCCUUCCGUGCCGCAGUUAACACAAUAAGUAAUCCACCUGGGGAGUACGGCCGCAAGGUUGAAACUCAAAUGAAUUGACGGGG
Molecule: ribosomal RNA, 396 nt
Filed under: uncultured bacterium
Lineage: Bacteria
Description: partial 16S ribosomal RNA
Rfam family: Bacterial small subunit ribosomal RNA
Source: RNAcentral